AAUAAAAUUCUAUAUUUUCAUAUCUAUAGAAGAAUGUAUAUAAAAAUCUUUAGUGAAAGUUAAGAACUCAUUGAAAGUAAUUGAUUCUAUUUUGAAACCUUUUUGUUUUCUCGAACUUUCUCACUUUUUAUUUUCUCUGAAUUAUUAUACAGACCCCCAUGUAUAUCUUUCUCUUAACCCAAUAGAGAAAAUUGCUUAAUGAAAUUUUGUAUGACUAACUGUGAAUUUUUAGCGAUGCAAAAUUGGUUCUUUUCUUUCUAUUUUGUCGUCAAAAUCCCUUUUUUG
Molecule: long non-coding RNA, 285 nt
Filed under: Solanum tuberosum (potato)
Lineage: Eukaryota; Viridiplantae; Streptophyta; Magnoliopsida; Solanales; Solanaceae
Description: long non-coding RNA (STUB_LNC000849)
Source: RNAcentral